AGGAUGAACGCUGGCGGCGUGCCUAACACAUGCAAGUCGAACGUCCUGUCUCGCAAGAGGCAGGGAGUGGCGGACGGGUGAGUACCACGUGGGUGAUCUACCGUGAGGUGAGGAAUACCGGCGAGAAAUCGCCGACAAGACCGCAUAGCCUCGGUGCAAGCCGAGGAAAGCUCUCUCGAGAGAGGGAGCGCCACACGAGGAGCCUGCGCCCGAUUAGCUAGCUGGUGGAGUAACGGUUCACCAGGGCGACGAUCGGUAGCUGGUCUGAGAGGACGAUCAGCCACACUGGGAUUGAGAACGGCCCAGACUCCUACGGGGGCAGCAGUGAGGAAUUUUCGUCAAUGGGGGCAACCCUGAACGAGCAACGCCGCGUGCAGGAAGAAGGUUUUCGGAUCGUAAACUGCUUUUCGUCGGGGAAGAGAACGGACGGUACCCGAGGAAUCACGCCCCGGCUAACUACGUGCCAGCAGCCGC
This 474-nucleotide ribosomal RNA is filed under the name uncultured bacterium. RNAcentral's name for it is "SSU rRNA". It matches the Rfam family "Bacterial small subunit ribosomal RNA", at positions 26 to 518 of the family's 1533-position model. The record is from RNAcentral.